RNAcentral lists this ribosomal RNA (253 nucleotides) under uncultured bacterium. RNAcentral's name for it is "partial 16S ribosomal RNA". It matches the Rfam family "Bacterial small subunit ribosomal RNA", at positions 524 to 776 of the family's 1533-position model. The record is from RNAcentral.
GACGAGGGAUCCUAGCGUUGUUCGGAAUUAUUGGGCGUAAAGGGUGCGUAGGUGGCUUGGUAAGUCAGGUGUGAAAGCCCCGAGCUCAACUCGGGAAGUGCAUCUGAUACUGCUAAGCUUGAGUACUGGAGAGGGUAGUGGAAUUCCUGGUGUAGUGGUGAAAUACGUAGAUAUCAGGAGGAACAUCGGUGGCGAAGGCGGCUACCUGGCCAUGUACUGACACUGAGGCACGAAAGCGUGGGGAUCAAACAGG